Molecule: long non-coding RNA, 464 nt
Filed under: Gossypium raimondii (Peruvian cotton)
Lineage: Eukaryota; Viridiplantae; Streptophyta; Magnoliopsida; Malvales; Malvaceae
Description: long non-coding RNA (GRAI_LNC009711)
Source: RNAcentral
GUUUUCAGGUUUAGAAAUCAGCAGUAAAAAAAGUCUGUCAAUUACUUAAAUGGGAAGCAAAAAAUCUGAAAUUGUACUCGGAAUUUUCUCUUUUCGUUUUUUUUCAUAAAUAUUACAAUAAAUGAAACUAACCAGUUGGCAGUAAAUGACCAGCUUAUUCCCAUAUUCUGUUCUAUUUUUCCUAUAUUUCUAAUGUUCCUUUCUCCCUUUUUAGCUACUUUUUUUUCCAUUCUUUACAAAUAUUUUCCUUCUCUCUUGUUUUUUCUUCUCUCAGCCUCUUUUCCUGUGUUUCCUCAAUCUAUAGCUCUCCCGUUCAUUCGCCCUCUCUCUUAAUAUCCUUUCAAUUUUUUCCUUAAAAUUUUUUAGGUUCGGGUAACCAAAUUCUGUUUUUUGUUUUUUGCUGUUUCUUUUCUUUUUGUAAUUUUUGAAACCCCCUACAUCAUUGGAGAUUGAUUUCAGGUAUG